UACGGAGGGUGCGAGCGUUGUCCGGAAUCAUUGGGCGUAAAGGGCGCGUAGGUGGCCACUUCAAGCGUGCGGUGAAAGUCGGGGGCUCAACCCCUGAUCGGCCGUGCGAACUGGGGGGCUGGAGCACUGUAGAGGCAGGCGGAAUUCCGGGUGUAGCGGUGGGAAUGCGUAGAGAUCCGGAAGAACACCGGUGGCGAAGGCGGCCUGCUGGGCAGUUUUGCUGACACUGAGGCGCGACAGCGUGGGGGAGCAAACAGG
Molecule: ribosomal RNA, 258 nt
Filed under: uncultured bacterium
Lineage: Bacteria
Description: partial 16S ribosomal RNA
Rfam family: Bacterial small subunit ribosomal RNA
Source: RNAcentral